This 7208-nucleotide long non-coding RNA is filed under the name Arachis ipaensis. Its description in RNAcentral is "long non-coding RNA (AIPA_LNC000514)". Lineage: Eukaryota; Viridiplantae; Streptophyta; Magnoliopsida; Fabales; Fabaceae. The record is from RNAcentral.
CUUUUUGUUUAACCAGCUCAUAUGGGCAUUAGAAUUUGAUAAUCCAGGUUGACAACCAUGCUUCAACAUAUGUUCACGGAUCUUAAAGGCGUCAUCUUCUCUGUUAGCCCUAUAAAGUCCAUCAACAAGUGUCCCAUAAGUAAUAGAAUCAGGUGAGAUCCCCUUUAGUUGCAGCUCCUUGAAAAGCUUGAUAGCAGCGUUGAUAUUACCAGUUUUGCAAAAACCAUUGAUUAAAAUGUUGUAUGUGAUAAUGUUAGGCACAACCCCACUCCCAGCAAGUUGUUUGAGAAGCUUGUAAGCAUUCAAAACUUCACCAGCCUCGCACAUUUGCUCCACCUUUUUCUGGAGACUAACACUAUCAAAAACCCUGUCAGAACCCUGAGAAAGCCGGAAAAACAAAGAUGGGCUUCUCCCAAUCUCCAUCUCGUGCAGUAAAAGGUGUGCUUCCUCAAUUCUGCGAGCCUUGCAAAGGCCAUGCAUCAGAGCACUGAAGGUCACAACUGAAGGGAGACAUCCAAGUUUUUCCAUCUGAUUAAAUAUCUCCCGUGCCUCUCCAACCAUUCCAUUCCUACACAUGCCAUAGAUGAGAAUGGUGUAGGUGUAAGCAUUAUGAAAUUGUUCGUCCUUGGAAACCUCAAGCUGAAGAGAUCUAGCUUGGUCCAAACGACCUAUGUCACAAAAACCUUUGAUUAAUGCAUUGUAACAAUAGGCGUCUGUCAUCUAACAUCUUUGCAGCUUCACCAACCCUAUCCUCUUUGGACAAACCACGUAUCAUGAUAGCAUAUAAAGUAACAUCCGGCACAAUUCCCCUCUUAAACAUCUUGGUGUACCAUACAUAUGCCUCACUAUAUCUCUUGGCGUGAAUGAAGCUAUUUAUCAGAGAACAGUAACUUUGCAGAUUAAGAGCAAAAUCAUCUAUCCUCAACAAAGACAGCAAAGAAAGUGCUUCAUCUGUCCUUCCGUUCUUGCAAAACCCAUCAAUCAAGACAUUAUAACAGCGCAAAGUAGGCAAGCACCCAUUUUUUUUCAUAGUGUUAAACAACCUAAACGCCUCAUCAACCUUCUUCCACUGACAGAGGCCAUAAAUAAUAGCCGUAUACAUCUUAACAUCAGGCAGCACACCCUUCUUGCUCAUAUCAUCGAGCAUCUCGAGGACAGCGUUGAAGUUUUCAAUCUUACAGAAUCCACCAAUCUAGAGAGUGUACGUGUGGUCAUCUGGCAAAGAAUUAGACCUAAGCAUAACAUUAUAGAGCGAAAAAGCCAACACAAACAAGUCUUUCUUGAGCACAACCUUCAAGAUAGUGUUAUAGGCGUGAGCACUGGGCUCACAGUCGAACUUAGACAUUCUAUCAAAACACUUAAUGGCUUAUUCAACAAGACCCAUAUAGGAAUAGGUCCUUAUGAGGGCUCUAACAGAUUCAGAACUUAUGAAAAUCCCAGAUUUAUUCAGAAGCUGGAGCGCGUCCCAGUAAAGGGAGCACCACUCCUUAGUGGCGAGAGUGCAACUUACCUCGUUACGGGAAUGCUGAUCCACGAGGCUCUCGAACUUGAGCGCGACCCACACGCAAAAACGGAGAGGGAGUCCGCGGUUACGAUUAGGGAGAUCUCGCGUGACGACGACGGCGUCUGCGUCAGCGGAAGAGUGGUGCUGCAAUCGGCGAGGGAGGAACCUUGUGAGCAGUCCGGAAGCAUUGUGGAAAUGGACUCGUUUCCACAACAGCAUAGAGGGAUCGGGGUGAUGAUGGUGGCAGCGGGGUGCUAUCUUGUGGCGUUUGGGGAAGAGGGCAAUAGGUGAGACCUAAAAACAGAGUAAAGAGUAAUAAACUUAUAAGUUAUAACGAAUAUCAGAGAGGCUUUUUUAAAUCUCUUUUUGAGGGGGCCGAUAGAUGAAAAUGUCCAUAAGACUAAUUUAAUAUUACUAACCACUCAAAUAUAAAAAGAUUAUUCCUACCAAGUCAUUAUAAAAAAGAUUUUUUUUUUUUUGUGCCAAUGAAGAUAACUAGUUAUCUACAAGUGUACAACUAUCAUAAACUUCAUAAAAGAUAAUAAAUUUUAGAUAAUAGGUAAGAGAUUUUAAAUUCAAAUUUUAUUGCUAGUUUAUUCUAAGAAAAAUAAUUUUACAAUAAACUGCUAUUUUUAUAUAAUUUAAAUUAAAUAUUAAUUUUUAAUAAAUUAGACACAAAAAUUUAAAUACCAUAACCAUCACGAAAAAAAAGUUCACAAUAUUACUAUGUUCGGUGGAUAUGGCCUCGAAUUCCUUACUUUUGUGCCCCUCAUUUCAUAUAUUAUUAUAUUAUAUGCAUACAUAAACUAAUGAAUGAGCUAAUUAAUUCACCUCAUACCUUCAUGUAUUUUAUGUCCAUUUUAUAUAGUUAUACGGGCACACUCUUUGUUGAGAAAAAGGCACUCAUAAAUAGUUAAAUUAUCAUUAAUGAUUAUUUAGUGUUCUGUUAAUUUGUAAUUAUUAUACAAAUGGAAAUUUAAAAAUGGUCACUAAUUUUAAUUGCUACGUGAAUCUAAACCACACCCAAGAUUAAAAAAAAAAGUUUCAUGAUAGGUUGAUGUACAAAUGCAAUGAUAGAAUUAUGAAUUGAAUAAUAAAAUUGAAGAAAAUUACUCUUGGCUUUAUAUAGUCUUAUUUUCUUAGAUAAGGUUGAAAAAAAAUAUAUAAAAAUGAAGGUAUUAGCCGCAUAUUCUAAUUUCAAGGGGAUAUCCUUGAUGGAACAUUUUAGAUUGUUACAACAAUCACAAUCAUAUGUAAUGGUGAAUAUUAUCAUAAAUUAAGCAACUUAGGAAAAAAGAAGGAAGAAGUAACAAGAUGAAACCUUUACUACAAUUUAUUGAAACUUUUUUCAAUAUCAAAUUAUCAAUGUAAUGGCAUAGGAGUUACAUUAAUUAAUCCUAUGCAUUUUUAUCAACAUAAACAUAGAAGAUUCUCGAAACAACCUAUCUAGAUAUUACUAUUUUAUAUGAUAUAUGUAUGCAUAAGAUGUAAAUAACUUUUAAAUAUUCAUUUUAGCCAAAAUAGGAUCUAACCAUAGGUUUUUUGGAACAAGUAUAUAUGAAGUGCCUUUUGAAUAGUUAAUAUUAGUUAAAUUUUUUUAGAAGAAUUAAAAUUUAAGAUUUAAUGUUUAUNNNNNNNNNNNNNNNNNNNNNNNNNNNNNNNNNNNNNNNNNNNNNNNNNNNNNNNNNNNNNNNNNNNNNNNNNNNNNNNNNNNNNNNNNNNNNNNNNNNNNNNNNNNNNNNNNNNNNNNNNNNNNNNNNNNNNNNNNNNNNNNNNNNNNNNNNNNNNNNNNNNUUGUGGACAAAAGAGCUGAAUUCAUUGAUAUAUAUAUUAUUCUUUUAUUUUGGGGCUCUUUAUUUGUUUUAUGGUGUUAUAGGGCUCUUUAGUUUUUUACAGAGAUUUAAGGCUCUUCAUUUUAUUGUAAAUCAUACUCUAUAUUCAUAUUUUGGUAUGGGUUUUAUAUUUUCACAUCCAUUGGGCCUGGUAUAAGCCCCACCCAAUUGAUUUUUUUUUUUGCAAGUAAAAGUGAAACCGAUUGAUUUUAAUUAGUUUGUUAUGAAUUAUUAUUUGAAUUUGGUAUGUUCUUAUAGUUUUUUAAUCAAUCUAUGAGAAUUGCAGCUGACCCGCAAUAAUAAUAAGGCGAAUUCUUCGGUAUAGACAGGAAAACAAAUUUAUACAUGUUGAUUUGUGUUGUUUGAAUUUUAAAGUGACAAAUGUCUAUUGAAUAGGUAAAGUAAAUGGGACAAAUUCUGUGACUGUUUUGUACUUGCAUGAGUGGUUAUCAGGGAGGUGUUACUUUUUGAGAUUAAUAGAAAAGUUAUUAGACUAAUUAGAAAUAGUGCAAUUAGGAAGUAAUUGGGCCUAUUCACUUUAUAUUGUAUUAGGUAUUUUAUUGGGCCUAUAAAAAAAAGAAUAAUUUAAAACAACUUGAACAGACUUUUUAUAAGAUAAAAAUCAAAACACAAAUAUAAUGAUUAAUAAUAUCAAAUAAAAAAUAUUUAUCGAAAAAAAAAUAUCAAAUAAAAAUAAAUUAAUAUAGAAUAAUUAAUUAUCCUGAUAGAUUAUUGUUAUUUUAUAUGCAGUCAAUUGAAAAUAAAAAUUUAUAAAAAAUUUACUUAUAUCCCUAAUUAAGAAAAGAUGUUAAUAAUAUAAGUAUUUAUAAGUAAUUAUUUCCUGCCCUAACUAAUUCUUAUGCAAUGUUUUUUACAUAUUCUCUCAUUUAUAUAUAUAUUAUCAUAAAUUUCAAAUACAUACCGUAACAAAUUAUUAUUAAUAUAUUCGGUUAAGAUAUACAAUUUGUUAGAAUUUAUCAUUGUAGCAUAUCAUUUUUUACUUUUUUUUUCAAAUAAAUAUUAAUAAUAGAUCCUUAUUAUUCUUUCACGUUGUGAGUGAAGUUGCGAGUGAAUUAUAAUCUAUCAGGAUAAUUAAUUAUUUUAUAUUAAUUUAUUUUUGUUUAGUUUUUUAUUUGAUAUGAUUAAUCAUUAUAUAUGUGUUUUGAUUUUCAUCUUACAAAAGGCCUAAGAGAUAUUGUUUAAAUUGUUUUAAAUUAUUCUUCUUUUUAUAGGCCCAAUAAAAUACCCAACAUAAUAUAAAGUGAAUAAGCCCAACUACUUUCUAAUUGCACUAUUUCUAAUUAGUCUAAUAAGUUAUAACUUUUCUAUUAAUCUCAAAAAGUAACACCCCCUUUUUUCUGAUAACCACUCGUGCAACCAUGCAAGUACUCCUGCAACUGAAGCAGCUGCAGAAUUUGUCCCAUUUACUUUACCCAUUCAAUAAACACUUGUCACUUUAAAAUUCAAACAGCACAAUACUAUAUGUGUAGAUUUGUCCCCCUGUCUAUACCAGAGAAUUCGCCUAAUAAUAAUAAUAAUAAAAUUAUGAGAAUCAGAAUGCAAAGAGAGUAAACAUAUGCGGUGCAAUGGAGGAAGUAAAGAGAAUCACAAUUGCGAUCCACUUCUCUGCACAAAGGCAUGAAAAGUAACUGAACAUAACAACAAUGAAUAAUACACAGAAAAUGAGAGAGAACAAGCAUGAAGUGCUGACAUCUUCUUUAAUUAACAUCACAAGUUAUAUUCACCCCUUUAGUUGUAUUCUUGCACUAUAUGUGCUCAUUAUAUAUAUAUAUAUACAUCAAACAAAUUUACCGUCACUUAUUUUUUUUAGUUUUCAGUAUUUUUUAAUCUAAAAAUCCAAGAAUUAAUUUGUUGUAAUUCUGAGUUUCAUUUGAUAAUUAAUAGUUAUUAUUGACCAAUGAGUUGUUAUAUAUAAAGAUAGAAUUAAAACUUCUAACAUUUAACAAAUUUGAGUUGGUCAAGUGACUAGCUUACUUUUAGCAUUUAAAUGUAGUAAGUCCAAAUUGAAAUUUACAACAUAAGGGUAGCAGAGCAUGGAAUAUAGCAUGCCUGUUAAUUUCACAAAAAAAAUAACAGAAUAGCUCAAGAACGUGGACUUAAAAUCACAUGGCACACAUUCUAUGUAUAAGAAGCAUAACCCAACAUAUGGAAACAGAGAAGAGUGGAAGAUAGUUGAAGUCCAAUUCGAAGAAUGGUCAGCAAGAAAGACAUCAUGGUACCUUAUAAUGCUAUACCUGGAUUAAUUCAACAGGUAAUCAUGUUUAGUAAAAACUUGAUAUCAUGCACAAGGACAAACAAGAACAUCAACUUUUCAUAUUGAUUUUGCCAAUCACUGUGGACAAGUGAACAUGUGUUUAGUGAAGCUUUGCUGCAUAUCCAACUGCCACAUCUUAGCCUGAAGGUAGUUCCAGCAACUAAGUAACUAUAAACAUAUAGCUCCGACCAGGCUGAAAAAUUAUGAUAUUGACCUUUUAGAAAGAGUAAUGUUAUAUAGCAAGCCAUUCCACCCCAACCAAACUAAACACACCAUUAGAGUCAGCAUAGUGUACCUAUGAAAUAGUGGGGAAGAAAAAUUCACAUAUGAGCUUGAAGAAACUCUGUUUCCCAAUUUGGGGAAGUUCCAAACUGACCCUCAUAAGAUUUAAACUAGGAAUAAAUUAGCUUCUUAAAAAAAGAGAGAGAAAGAAACUAAGAAUAAAUUAGAAACUCAACUUAUUAUCUAAUCAAUCAUAAGAAUUCCUUUCGACAUUAUAACAACACGAAAGCUUUGUCCAUUAGCUGAGACUGGCUAGAUCAUAUGAACGGAAUAGUGCCCUAUCGCAAACUAUGCUAAUAGUCUAACCAUUUAAGUCUAAAUAAUUUUUUUAACGGUUCUUGCAUAGUAUUUCUUGGUCUCCUUUUACCUUUAGCUACUGAGCUACCCUAUAUGCACAUGAUCAAGCCACUCAUCACAAGAUAAAGAAUAAUAUCCAUCUUGAAUAGUCGGAGUUAUUCAAUCAUUUAAAAUAGUGCAUUUUAUUGCUCCUCCUUCUCCUUAGCCGUCGAAUAACGUACAUUGCUUUGUCAUACUGAUGUGAAUUCAAACAGUAUCCAUGGGACUGCAUCCUGUCAACAAGAUCAAUAGCAUAAUCCUUUUUAUCUAUCGAAAGAAGGAGACAUUUGAGGAGCUUGUUACAAAUUCUUGGCCUCAACAUGAAACUUUUUUCUAGGGUGUAGAGGAAUAUGUUUACUGCAUCAUCCAGCUUCCCUUCCUCACAGAGAAUAUCAAUCAAAUGUACACAACUUGUAGGAUUUAUAUUAAUAUUGAACUCACCAAGAACAGAAAAUAUAGCUAAUGCUUCAUCUACCUUUUUUGCCAUACAGAACCCAGUAAUUAGAAUUGUGUAUGGAGCUAAAUUAAAAUCUCUACAUUUGAAGUCCAUUUCCAGUAAGCCUCGAAUUACUUCUUUCACAUUUCCUCUGAUAAAAUGGUUCUCCAACAUGUUGAUUGAAUCAUUAUCCCACUUCAGAAGGCUUUUCAGAUAUUCAAAGUAAAUAUUGAAGGCCAUCGAGACCUUCCCCUUUUUGUUUAACCAGCUCAUAUGGGCAUUAGAAUUUGAUAAUCCAGGUUGACAACCAUGCUUCAACAUAUGUUCACGGAUCUUAAAGGCGUCAUCUUCUCUGUUAGCCCUAUAAAGUCCAUCAACAAGUGUCCCAUAAGUAAUAGAAUCAGGUGAGAUCCCCUUUAGUUGCAGCUCCUUGAAAAGCUUGAUAGCAGCGUUGAUAUUACCAGUUUUGCAAAAACCAUUGAUUAAAAUGUUGUAUGUGAUAAUGUUAGGCACAACCCCACUCCCAGCAAGUUGUUUGAGAAG